AUGCACGCUGGCGGCGUGCCUAACACAUGCAAGUCGAGCGGCAGCGAGGGGUGCUUGCACCCUGUCGGCGAGCGGCGGACGGCUGAGUAACGCGUGGGAACGUGCCCCAAAGUGAGGAAUAACUGCCCGAAAGGGUAGCUAAUACCGCAUAUUAUCUUCGGAUCAAAGGAUUUAUCCGCUUUGGGAGCGGCUCGCGUCGGAUUAGGUAGUUGGUGAGGUAAUGGCUCACCAAGCCGACGAUCCGUAGCUGGUCUGAGAGGAUGACCAGCCAGACUGGAACUGAGACACGGUCCAGACUCCUACGGGAGGCAGCAGUGAGGAAUCUUCCACAAUGGGCGAAAGCCUGAUGGAGCAACGCCGCGUGCAGGACGAAGGCCUUCGGGUUGUAAACUGCUUUUAUAAGUGAGGAAUAUGACGGUAACUUAUGAAUAAGGAUCGGCUAACUACGUG
This 450-nucleotide ribosomal RNA is filed under the name uncultured bacterium. RNAcentral describes it as "partial 16S ribosomal RNA". It matches the Rfam family "Bacterial small subunit ribosomal RNA", at positions 29 to 507 of the family's 1533-position model. The record is from RNAcentral.